RNAcentral lists this ribosomal RNA (468 nucleotides) under uncultured bacterium. RNAcentral describes it as "partial 16S ribosomal RNA". It matches the Rfam family "Bacterial small subunit ribosomal RNA", at positions 28 to 507 of the family's 1533-position model. The record is from RNAcentral.
GACGAACGCUGGCGGCGUGCUUAACACAUGCAAGUCGAACGGAAAGGCCCUGCUUUUUUGGUGUGCUCGAGUGGCGAACGGGUGAGUAACACGUGAGUAACCUGCCCUUGACUUUGGGAUAACUUCAGGAAACUGGGGCUAAUACCGGAUAGGAUCUCCUGCUGCAUGGUGGGGGUUGGAAAGUUUCGGCGGUUGGGGAUGGACUCGCGGCUUAUCAGCUUGUUGGUGGGGUAGUGGCUUACCAAGGCUUUGACGGGUAGCCGGCCUGAGAGGGUGACCGGCCACAUUGGGACUGCGAUACGGCCCAGACUGCUACGGGAGGCAGCAGUGGGGAAUAUUGCCCAAUGGGAGGAAGCCUGAUGCAGAAACGCCGCGUGCGGGAUGACGGCCUUCGGGUUGUAAACCGCUUUCGCCUGUGACGAAGCGUGAGUGACGGUAAUGGGUAAAGAAGCACCGGCUAACUACGUG